CCUUCGAUAGCUCAGUUGGUAGAGCGGUGGACUGUAGUACGGCAGCUUGCGGCGGUUGCUGUUGGGGGUCGAUGAUCAUCCAUCGAUCAGUGAGAGGAAACUCUCGCCUCACCCCUUCAGCAGAGCACAACUCAUCAAAGCGCGCAAUAGCUAUCCAUAGGUCACUGGUUCAAAUCCGGUUCGAAGGA
This 188-nucleotide transfer RNA is filed under the name Anopheles darlingi. RNAcentral describes it as "tRNA Tyrosine". It matches the Rfam family "tRNA". From Rfam's summary of the family: Transfer RNA (tRNA) molecules are approximately 80 nucleotides in length. Their secondary structure includes four short double-helical elements and three loops (D, anti-codon, and T loops). Lineage: Eukaryota; Metazoa; Arthropoda; Insecta; Diptera; Culicidae. The record is from Rfam by way of RNAcentral.